Mesocricetus auratus (golden hamster) is the source of this 1488-nucleotide long non-coding RNA. RefSeq lists it as uncharacterized. The transcript is spliced from 4 exons. The record is from RefSeq and is a predicted model, not a curated record. Lineage: Eukaryota; Metazoa; Chordata; Mammalia; Rodentia; Cricetidae.
CUGGAACCCGGCGCGGAGGGACCGCGUGGGGAAGCCGUACUGGCAACCAUCGGUGAUGGCGCUCGAGGACCGCAAGGACUUUCUGGCUCCCUGGCUCCAUGGCAACGGAGACGCUACAGACUCGGCGUCCCACUUCUGCUUCCGGCUCCGCCCCUUCCGUCUAGUUUUUCUCUAGUAGAGCGUCAUCCCUGUCGUCAUCGCAAAGGCUUGCAUUUCUAACGGCUGGCUAGGUGUUCUAGGCUGGCCUCAAGGUCACCAUCCUCCCGCCUCCUCCUCAGCUUCCCGAGAGCUGGGUGCGGGUGUAUGCUGUGUGCCAGAUAACAUCACCUUUAUUUUCUUCCUGGUAAAGCUUUAGUUCUGUUUUGUGUGUCUCUAUGUGUCUGUGUGCACGGGAGUGCAGUUGCCCAUGCAGGCCAGAGAGGGCAUCGGAUCUCCGGGAGCUGGAGCGAUAGGCAAUUGUGAGAUCCCUGACACGGGUUCUGGGAACUGACCUCUGGUCCUCUGCUCUUAAAGGCUGGGCCACCUCCUCGGCCCCAGGAUCACCCUUCCUACAGGUGCACGGGUUCAUGCGGAGGCCAGGGGUCAACGUCAGCUUCUGCUCCUCAGGGGCCAUUGAUCUUGUUUUCUUGUUGAAGACAGUGUCUUACUACGCAGCCCUGGCAGACCCGAAACUCAUCAUGUAGACCGUACUGGCCUCGGUCUCAGGAAAUAUCCUGCCCCUGCCUCUUGAGUGCUGGAAUUAAAGGUGCCUGCAGAGGCCAGCAGAGGGCAUCAGGCCAUAGCCAUAGGCUGCUGUGAACUGCCAGAUGUGGCUUCUGGGAACCGAACCCAGGGCCUCCAAAAGAGCACCACAUGCUUUCAGCCCUUCAGCCACCCAGCCGCCUUCCCUCUGCUUCUGGAAACUUGCUGGGUGGGAGUCUGUCACCUUUCACCUGCAGAGAGCCCCGCUGUGGGAGAGAGGGCCCAGGAACCCCCCCACCCCUGUGUAAAUGACUGAUGGCAGGAGCCUCCUCCCUCGGGCUCCCUGUUUUAGUUCCUGCCCAUCCAUGGUGACUUCUUCAGCCAUCAGUGGAACACUUUCUGAGUAUGAGUCAUUGAGGGGUUUCUCGAAGCGCUUGCAGGGCCGACAGGCCUCAGCCCCCGUUACCUCUCUGUUCACCCCUCCGUUGUGCCCUCUUUGAGCUCCAGCCACUCUCCCAUCCUAGAGCCUGCCCUGCCUCGCCUGGAACCAGCGGCCCUAGGCAUCCCUGCACAUGCUGCGCUCCCACUUCCUGGAGCCUGCUCAGGGCCGCCUCCCCCAUGCCAGCCAGCCCCACCAACCCUGCCCCUCCCCAUCUCGCUCCCCCCAUUACAGUGUGAGCUCUAUGACAGCAGGAGGGUUUUGAUGUGUUUUGAGCACUGAGGAUUCCCAAGUCUCCGUGUGCCCAGUAGACGACAGAUCUUUAACAAACGUUUAUGGAGACAACAAAAUAGAGAAGCUUCCAAACA